Long non-coding RNA from Astatotilapia calliptera (eastern happy), 1263 nucleotides. The record is from Ensembl. NCBI's taxonomy places the organism in Eukaryota, Metazoa, Chordata, Actinopteri, Cichliformes, Cichlidae.
UUUCGAAGGCACAAAUGCAUACGAUCAGGAAUGCAGGCUUUUAAACAGAGUGCCGAUAACAAGCCGGAUGGUCCCUCUCCCGCUUCCAAAAAUAUUUAAACAGUUUUUAUUUGUCUGACCACAGACGUUUUCCACUUUGCUUCAGUCCAUUUCAAAUGGUUCAUACACAGCUUCUUGUUGGUGUGAUAGAGCUUCAGCCUUGUUUAUGGAUGACACGGUGAACUGUGUUCACAGACAGUGAUCUCUGAAAGUGUUCCUGAGUCCAUGCAGUGAUUUUCAUGACCGACAUCACGUCUGUUUUAAUGCAGUGCUGCCUGAAGGCCCGGAGGUCCGAAGGUUAGGAUUUUCAGCCUUGCUCCUUGUGCACACAGAUUUCUCCAGAUUCUCAGAAUAUUUUAAUGAUAUUGUGGACUGUAGAUGGUGAGAUUGUCAAAGUCUGGACAAUCCUACAUUGAGGAUCAUUAUUCUGAAAUUGUUCCGUAAUUCGUGGAUGACAUUUUUUGCAGAUUUCUGAACCUCCUUUACUUCCGAGAAGCUCUGCCUGUCUAAGAAGCUCUUUUUUAUUCCUAGUCCCGACCUGUUUCUGGUUACUUAGCCUCCCAGCUUUUUAUUUUUUAUUUUUUUUACUGUUUAUAAUUGUUAAAAAUAAAUUGUAUGCUUCUCAUUUCUUUCUCCUCUCUUAUGUCAUCUCUUAAGCAGCUCAGGUUUUAGCUGAAAUGUACAGGCCCCUUUUCAGCCAAAUGCAUAAAUCUGAGUACAUAUUUUUCUUAUUUAUUGUAAAAACAAAGUAAACCCCGGAUGCCUCCCAGGCCAAAAAAACUUUAGUCCCGAUGAUUUAUUUUUAUUUUUUACUGCUGAUCAUUUUAGCAUUACAACCUUCACAAAUGUGCUAUUUCUGCAGGACUGCUGUAAUUACAUAAGACCACAAAUGUGCUCACUACAUAUGGGCAUAAUGAAAAAUAGAUUAGGGAAAUGCAUAUUGUGGUGCCUUCUGUGGUCGGUUAUCCUGGCCACUCUAAGCACUCUGGUCAUUAUAUGGGUUCUAAUGUAGCAUUUUGCCGCACAUGGAAAGCCAACGUUUGCAAAUGAUCAUGUUUCUAUUUUCCAGCACCUUUUAUAGGCAUGCAGUCAUCAACUAAAACCGUGUGACACCUGAAUGUGAAGCACAAAACAUUAGACAUUGUAUAAUCAAGCUUUCAUCGGCGUUCCAAGAAGUAAAUAACAAUAAUAAAGGUGGGUGAGACAACCUGUAACUGUCACGCU